RNAcentral lists this non-coding RNA (28 nucleotides) under Mus musculus (house mouse). The record is from RNAcentral. Lineage: Eukaryota; Metazoa; Chordata; Mammalia; Rodentia; Muridae.
UCUAGAUACGGGAGGGAGCAUCUCUAGC